This 1122-nucleotide long non-coding RNA is filed under the name Marmota monax (woodchuck). The record is from RNAcentral. Lineage: Eukaryota; Metazoa; Chordata; Mammalia; Rodentia; Sciuridae.
GAGGUAAAUUAUACCUGGGUGUAGAGGAUAACUUCAACUGCCUAAACCAGCAUUUCUUCUCACAUCUUCUUCAGAAAACCAUGAGGUGUACGAAGAUGACAUGAUUCAUGGCUUCAGCAAUACUAGGAGAAAGAGCAUACCACAAACAUUAAAUUGCCAGAAAACUGAUAAGUGCAGAUUUCCAAUAGAGUAUGAUACACUUCUAUAAGACUGAAUGUGGACAGUGAGGAAGCAAUACUUAGAGAAACUUUGAAAAAGAGAAAAAGGGAGUAGAUGACAUAGACUAAACAGAGGCAAAAUUUAGCCCUGAAAGAGUGCUGGCAGCAAAAGAGGAUGCCAAAUAUUACGUGCCAAACACUGGACAAUCCUAGGUCUUGGUAGGUUACAGCAUUGGCUUUAAAGGAAGAGGACUUGAAAGUAAGGCCAGAGGUAAAGCUGUAGAUAAGAAUUGCUUUUGAGAAUGAAUCAACUACAUUGGCAAAGAAGUGUGCCCCGCUUAAAGACAUGGCAGUGAAGGGAAAGAAGAUAGUAAGGGGGAAAUUUUAAGAUCCUGAAGAACCUAGUGUGGUGUCACAUGCCUGUAAUCCCAGAGACUCUGGAGGCCAAGGCAGGAGGAUCUCAAGUUUAAAGCCAACCUCAGCAAAUUAGAGAAGCCCUAUCUCAAAACUUAAAAGGGGGUGGGGGAUUGUGCUGGGGUUGUGGCUCGGUGGAUAAAUGCCCCUGAGUUCAAUCCCUGGUACCAAAAAAAGAAAAGAAAAAACCUGAAGGAAAAACAAAAGAAAAAUCAUGCCAGCCACCCCACGUCACCUGAUGUUGAGAGCCACAGCCGAAGGGGCCCCAGCAAACUUUCAGACUGCCAGCUGAUGAUUGGCUCACAGCGGCCCCAGCAACAUCUAGCUGAUUGGCUCCUCUGUGGUGAUGCUCAUUGGGCUGUUUCCCUGCCCUUUCAGACUAUGGAGCUGCUCAUUGGGGGACUUUUUUGGCUCCGCCCACACGACCCAGCCAAUCGGCCUCAAGAGCAAGAGGAGUGGGGGAGGUGGAGAGGCUUGUGGGAAGCCGAUGGUGGCAGUUGGGCUCUGAGGGUUUUUCCUGAGGAGCUGUUUUAUUUGGCCUGUGUGGUUC